Molecule: ribosomal RNA, 430 nt
Filed under: uncultured Nitrospina sp.
Lineage: Bacteria; Pseudomonadati; Nitrospinota; Nitrospinia; Nitrospinales; Nitrospinaceae
Also listed under: 1 other name
Description: bacterial SSU rRNA
Rfam family: Bacterial small subunit ribosomal RNA
Source: RNAcentral
UGGGGAAUUUUGCGCAAUGGGGGAAACCCUGACGCAGCAACGCCGCGUGAGUGAUGAAGGCCUUCGGGUCGUAAAGCUCUUUUAGUGGGGAAGAAUCCCACCCGGGCUAAUACCUCGGGUGUCUGACGGUACCCACAGAAAAAGUUCCGGCUAACUACGUGCCAGCAGCCGCGGUAAUACGUAGGGAGCAAGCGUUGUUCGGAAUUAUUGGGCGUAAAGAGCGCGUAGGCGGUUCGGUAAGUCUGACGUGAAAUCCCAGAGCUUAACUCUGGAACUGCGUUGGAUACUGCCGAGCUUGAGUGUGGGAGAGGAGAGUGGAAUUCCCAGUGUAGAGGUGAAAUUCGUAGAUAUUGGGAGGAACACCCGUGGCGAAGGCGGCUCUCUGGACCACAACUGACGCUGAGGCGCGAAAGCUAGGGUAGCAAACGGG